UACGGAGGGAGCUAGCGUUGUUCGGAAUUACUGGGCGUAAAGCGCACGUAGGCGGCUUUGUAAGUUAGGGGUGAAAGCCCGGAGCUCAACUCCGGAAUUGCCUUUAAGACUGCAUCGCUUGAAUCCGGGAGAGGUGAGUGGAAUUCCGAGUGUAGAGGUGAAAUUCGUAGAUAUUCGGAAGAACACCAGUGGCGAAGGCGGCUCACUGGACCGGUAUUGACGCUCAUGCACGAAAGCGUGGGGAUCAAACAGG
RNAcentral lists this ribosomal RNA (253 nucleotides) under uncultured bacterium. RNAcentral's name for it is "partial 16S ribosomal RNA". It matches the Rfam family "Bacterial small subunit ribosomal RNA", at positions 524 to 776 of the family's 1533-position model. The record is from RNAcentral.